Molecule: unclassified non-coding RNA, 356 nt
Filed under: rhizosphere metagenome
Description: partial ribosomal RNA internal transcribed spacer region
Source: RNAcentral
GUAGGUGAACCUGCGGAAGGAUCAUUCGCACGUAUCCAACGUUAAACAACCCUGUGAACCUUGAACGUGCUCUCGUACACGCUCUAGCAGCAAUCCCUGGUAAAUCAUUGUUGACCAGCUAUUGAGUCUGGGACUUCUGCUAGAAAACCAUACGAUACGAGCGCCAGAGUAAGUGCGGCCUGGCAUCCUAGCAAUCUGUCAGUGGUUGCGCAAGGAUGGCGCAGUAAACGAUCGCUGUAGGCCCACACGGCCGGCGACCGGGCCUCCGUGCUUCGGCACCUAAUGACACCAGUUUUCUGACCCGGUGCGCUGUCCACAAACUCGAACAACUGUUAACAAUGGAUAUCUUGGUUCUU